CUGAUCGAACGCUGCUAGGAAGGAAGAUUCGCACAGAACACAGUUUUUGCUUUUCAUCCGGCUCGUGGUGCUGUUGUGCAAAAGGGAACUACCAACAGAAGCCCAACAGAAGCUUGGGAGGUGUGUGCGUGUUGGUAGGACACUACGCGCGGAAUGAUUCUGUUGCCGAAAUCUGUUUCCACAGCCUCCGCCUGGAAAGGUAAGCACGCACACACACGCGGUGGCUCGAGAAGCAACUAACAGGUUAGCACCUUUCGCAUACACAUCGCACCAGGCACCAGACAGACAGACAGGAGGAUCCACAACAAGCGCGUCGCUAGAGUAGCUUGUUUUUUUGUUUGUUCGUUUGCUGUCUGAAAACAACAGUACCAAACAGUAUCUGUCAUCCAGCAGGGGAUCCAAGAGACUCGCACACAUAUCACACCAACACACAUCAACGAGGGUAACAGGCUGCUGUGGCCCGCAAGAAACACCGCCGCACACACAGCAACAAUCAGUGCCUGGUCUGUUAUCACGCGCGUCGCUUGAUGAGCGUCGCAUCUUCUCCAUGCCUCACCCGCCACACGUGUGUGUGUGCGUCCAAAUAUUCCGAACGCAAAAUUGAAGCCGAAGCUGGGAGUAGAAGACGUGUGCCAAAAUGGCACAACACACAACGAAGCGACGAUCGCACUCGAAAGAGUUGCACCCAGAGCUUUCGGAACAAAGAUAGAGAGCCGGUGACGCUCGUCGGGCCUGUGAUGUUUGGGCGACACGAAACAUACACACACACACACACACACACACACACACACAAAACAACAAACAACCAACAAAAAAACAUACAUUUUGAUUAUCAAGUUUUGCCACACUUGUGUUUACUUGCAGACACACGUACACAUGUCGGUGACGCUAGAGAGCUGGUCCAGAACAGUGCGAGUUUGAAGUGCGUGUAACGUUUUUGUUUGCGAUUUCGUUUACGGUGUCCGCUGCAAGUGCUAACCCCAGACAAUGGAUUAGAUCAGGGAUUGCCAAACUACUCCAAACAUAGCAGCAUGAGGUCCUCGAGACUUAUCAAAACGAGAUGUAACCGUUCAUCCACUAGCUAAAGAUAACGCCAGAAUAACCCUCGACAAAACUAUUUGCAGAGCAAUGUAGCCCGCGAAUUGAAAAGGUUGGGAGAUCCCUGAAUUAGAUGAUCCCCAAGAAUGGAUUAGAGAUACUGCAGCCUACAUCUAGCUGUCAAGCGCCAUAUAUUUUGGGGCGAAAUUGACCAUGGCAAGUCAUUCUCCAUUGUUUCUCCACUUACAUCGGUGCGGUCCGCUGGCAAACAGAAAAACGACAACAAAAAACCUUUUAUUGGAAGAACAAUUGCCCUUUGCCAAGCGUUUGGCGACAGACUAUCCCAUCCCGUUUGUCACACAGCCUUGAGCUGUGUAUGUUGUGAUAAAUUACUUUCCGUCAAGCGUACGGACGUACGUCUAGCAAACAUGGCCGGCCCACAGACCGUAGUAGCCUACCUGGAACCUACCCCAACCCAAACUCCUGGCCCUGGUGGCUUUUAUUGCGUUGCCACCAGGUCUGGGCAAUUAAUAUCAAUUGUUGUGUGAUGUACGGCAAGGCGAAAAACACACAUCGGGAACACACGCCGGAAAAGGGAAAUUGGUACCGAAACCCAUUAUGCCAAGCAUGGGACACACACAACACACGCAUUGCCCAUUUCCUUGCUUUUGUCCUUUCUUGGGAGAGCGAAAUCAUGUCGUUGCACAACUAACGGUUGGCGGGGUGGUACGCGUCGUCGCACGAUAACCAUCAAUUGCCGGUAACUCUGGACCACAUUGGAAGGUGCUGCGAGGUGGGUGGGUUGUCACACCAAUGUCUGGAACGUUUGGAAAUUGCGUCACCACAAACCACGUUCCGUAACGUACGAUGGUCCGCAGUAGCAGCAGUAGCAGGGAAGUUCUAUUGGAUUAGGACCUCAUUAUGACCUAAUCCACGAUUCGGAGCUUAGUGGCCAACCUAUUUCGAGAGCUACCGAGGGCUAGCAGUGCGCUUCGAUGCAGUCAUUGUACAUUGGCACUUAGCGAGGUGUAAUUUAAUAAAGCCAUUUUACGAAACUAAUCAAACUACUCCUCCUCUUCGACCACCGGAGAUCUUAAUUCCUGCAAUGUCCUUCCAGGCACGCACUUCCAAGCUGAGAAUGUGUGCUAAACAGCACGACCGUGGUGGACUAGAGCGGAUCGCCAUAAAAUGGAGUGUUUGUGUGCGGACGUAAUUGCAAAUAAGUUGUCGUUGCGGUCAGGCGCACUACCUUAUUCGCCGUUCUUUCCCCAUUCCCCAUUCCCAUUUAGAAACUAUAA
Long non-coding RNA from Anopheles coluzzii, 2336 nucleotides. RefSeq lists it as uncharacterized. The record is from RefSeq and is a predicted model, not a curated record. The transcript has 3 exons. Lineage: Eukaryota; Metazoa; Arthropoda; Insecta; Diptera; Culicidae.